Molecule: long non-coding RNA, 1327 nt
Filed under: Sus scrofa (pig)
Lineage: Eukaryota; Metazoa; Chordata; Mammalia; Artiodactyla; Suidae
Description: lncRNA (ENSSSCG00050054969.1)
Source: RNAcentral
GCUUCUGACAGUGUGGUGCCUGCAGCCUAGCCCAAGGAGAUUUGACCGACAGACCAAAGAGCCGGGACCAGCUCCUCCCCAGUGUGUGUGUCCCUCCGUCCCAUCUGUGAAGGGGCCCAUCAGCCCCUCCCCCACAGCCACUGGCACCUUCAGCACCACCAGCUGCUUUUCCCAAGGUGCAUGUACUGCCCUGUGGCACCACAGCACAAGGGUUGCUGUUGUGUCAGGAAGUCCUCCGGCUGCCUGCCCUCAACUCAAGACUUCCUGCUUGACUCUGUUGGCCCUGGAGGGCACACUUGGGAUUGCUGGGGGAAAGGUAAGGUCUGCUCCACCCCACCCCAGGUCUUUGGGUUCCCCCCAACCCCCACUGCACCUCCCCCCACCACACACACUGAAAGUCAGGUGGGGAGAGGGUAAGGCUAGGAGUUAGAAUUCCUGGGUUCAGGACCCCACAACCCUGUUAACUUUUCCUGGGAUCGUGCACAAGUUACUUUUCCUCUCUGGUUCAGGAAGUCCCCUUCUGCAAUGUGGAAAGGGUCACUGCUGCAUAGACCUGCCUUCUGGGCCCAUGAGUAGUGGAUUCAGGGGCAAGGCUCUGGAAUUUAAUAAGAGCUCACAUUAUUUAGAGCUAUGCUAGGGCCUUUUCUAGUAUUACAUCAUCCAAUUCUUAACAAUUCUAAAACGUAGGGACCAUUUUAAAGCUCCAUUUUAUAGAUGAGACAACCGAAGCACAGAGAUGCUACUAAUUUGCCCAAGGCCACACAGCAAGUCAAUGAUAGGACUGAGAUGCAAGCUCAGUAGAUGGUCUAUCUCCAGAACCCACAUGAUUAAUCACUAUCACAUGCUGCCUCCUUGGUAAAAACAUUCCCAAGACUAUGGGCAGCUGAAGGAGGUCAACCGGGAUAUUCAGAUCACACAGGGUCUUUUUGAAACUGUUUUCUGAGGUCCCUCUAGAUUAGCAAUUCUUAAAGUGUGGUCCAGGGAGCCUGGGGGCUCCUGAGACCCUUCCAGAGGCUCUAUGAGUUCAAAACUAUCUUCAUAAUAAUACUAAUGCGUUAUUUGCUUUUUUCUCUUUGAUUCUUUCGUGAGUGUUCAGUAGAGUUUUCCAGAAGCUACACUGCAAUAUGAUAUUACAACCUAUUGUAUACAGAAGCAGUUAUGCAAUACCAACUGUCUUCUGUUAAGCCAGAUAUUAAAAAUAUUUGUGAAAAGUUGAGACAAUGCCACUUACUAAACGUUUGUCUAUUUUGAAGUAUAGCUAUUUUUCAUUAAAAAUGUCAUUUAAGUUGACAUGCAAAAUGGGUUUUUUGUUGUUAUUUUUAUUUUU